This 317-nucleotide ribosomal RNA is filed under the name uncultured bacterium. Its description in RNAcentral is "bacterial SSU rRNA". It matches the Rfam family "Bacterial small subunit ribosomal RNA", at positions 191 to 507 of the family's 1533-position model. The record is from RNAcentral.
GGAUAUGUUGUUAAAGGUUUACCGCCUUGGGAUAGGCUUGCGUCUGAUUAGUUAAGUUGGGUGUGGUAACGGCACACCAAGGCUACGAUCAGUAACUGGUCUGAGAGGAUGAUCAGUCACACUGGAACUGAGACACGGUCCAGACUCCUACGGGAGGCAGCAGUGAGGAAUAUUGGGCAAUGCUCGAAAGAGUGACCCAGCAACGCCGCGUGGAGGAUGAAGGUAUUCUAUAUCGUAAACUCCUGUGAGAGCAGACGAAAGACAGAUUAUUAAUCUGGAUGACUGUAUGCUCAGAGGAAGCCCCGGCUAACUACGUG